This 484-nucleotide ribosomal RNA is filed under the name uncultured bacterium. RNAcentral's name for it is "partial 16S ribosomal RNA". It matches the Rfam family "Bacterial small subunit ribosomal RNA", at positions 30 to 507 of the family's 1533-position model. The record is from RNAcentral.
AUUGAACGCUGGCGGCAGGCCUAACACAUGCAAGUCGAGCGGAUGAAGGGAGCUUGCUCCUGGAUUCAGCGGCGGACGGGUGAGUAAUGCCUAAGAAUCUGCCUGGUAGUGGGGGAUAACGUCCGGAAACGGGCGCUAAUACCGCAUACGUCCUGAGGGAGAAAGUGGGGGAUCCUCGGACCUCACGCUAUCAGAUGAGCCUAGGUCGGAUUAGCUAGUUGGUGGGGUAAAGGCCUACCAAGGCGACGAUCCGUAACUGGUCUGAGAGGAUGAUCAGUCACACUGGAACUGAGACACGGUCCAGACUCCUACGGGAGGCAGCAGUGGGGAAUAUUGGACAAUGGGCGAAAGCCUGAUCCAGCCAUGCCGCGUGUGUGAAGAAGGUCUUCGGAUUGUAAAGCACUUUAAGUGGGGAGGAAGGGCAGUAAGUUAAUACCUUGCUGUUUUGACGUUACCAACAGAAUAAGCACCGGCUAACUUCGUG